Molecule: ribosomal RNA, 497 nt
Filed under: uncultured bacterium
Lineage: Bacteria
Description: partial 16S ribosomal RNA
Rfam family: Bacterial small subunit ribosomal RNA
Source: RNAcentral
GAUGAACGCUGGCGGCGUGCCUAAUACAUGCAAGUCGAGCGAACAGACGAGGAGCUUGCUCCUCUGACGUUAGCGGCGGACGGGUGAGUAACACGUGGAUAACCUACCUAUAAGACUGGGAUAACUUCGGGAAACCGGAGCUAAUACCGGAUAAUAUAUUGAACCGCAUGGUUCAAUAGUGAAAGACGGUUUUGCUGUCACUUAUAGAUGGAUCCGCGCCGCAUUAGCUAGUUGGUCAGGUAACGGCUUACCAAGGCAACGAUGCGUAGCCGACCUGAGAGGGUGAUCGGCCACACUGGAACUGAGACACGGUCCAGACUCCUACGGGAGGCAGCAGUAGGGAAUCUUACGCAAUGGGCGAAAGCCUGACGGAGCAACGCCGCGUGAGUGAUGAAGGUCUUCGGAUCGUAAAACUCUGUUAUUAGGGAAGAACAAAUGUGUAAGUAACUAUGCACGUCUUGACGGUACCUAAUCAGAAAGCCACGGCUAACUACGUG